AGCAGGCAGGUGGCUCUGCUGUGUGCAGAUGUCCAUGACCCCUGGGAAGGUGUGAAGCUGGGGCCUCCCUAGGCCCCAAUCAGGGUCUCCCAAAGUAGGAAGGUAAGUUCCCAGAGAGCAGGGCUCCAAGCAUGGGCAGACUGGGCAGGAGAGGCCCUGAGUGGGUAGAUGUCUCCCUUGACAGAGCUUGGAACAGACUCCUGGUCAGCAGCUAUUGAGGCUGGCUUUCCCUUAACUUGCCCAGGUUGGGACUUCAAUACAGCUAAAUAUAAGGGGGGGACUCUCAGUCUAUCACCAGCCUCUGUU
Molecule: RNase P RNA, 306 nt
Filed under: Mus spicilegus (steppe mouse)
Lineage: Eukaryota; Metazoa; Chordata; Mammalia; Rodentia; Muridae
Description: Nuclear RNase P (ENSMSIG00000011259.1)
Rfam family: Nuclear RNase P
About the family: Ribonuclease P (RNase P) is a ubiquitous endoribonuclease, found in archaea, bacteria and eukarya as well as chloroplasts and mitochondria.
Source: Rfam by way of RNAcentral